UCCAACCCCACAGGUCAGCCCAAGUCUGCACCUUCAGUCACUCUGUUCCCACCCUCCUCUGAGGAGCUCGGCAACAACAAGGCCACACUGGUAUGUCUGGUCAGUGACUUCUACCCUGGAGCCGUGACAGUGGCCUGGAAGGAGAAUGGCAGCCCUGUGUCCCAGGGUGUGGAGACCACCAAGCCCUCCAAACAGAGCAACAACAAGUAUGCGGCCAGCAGCUACCUGAGCAUGUCAGCCAGCAAGUGGAAGUCUGCCAGCCAGUUCAGCUGCCACGUGACGCAUGAUGGCACCACUGUGGACAAGACAGUGGUCCCCUCGGAGUGUUCCUAGGACUCUGAGCCCUCACAUUCUGGGUCUCUGCUUACUCAGAUCUCCCAUUUGCCACCUCUCCACUGUACCCCUGGGACUGCCACCCCUGUCUGCUCAGACUGGGCUGGUUUCAAAGCCUCCCCAUUUCCACUUUUUCUCAAUAAAACCCUGGUCAUUUA
This is a non-coding RNA of Artibeus jamaicensis (Jamaican fruit-eating bat), 491 nucleotides long. The record is from the annotation of a RefSeq genome assembly. Lineage: Eukaryota; Metazoa; Chordata; Mammalia; Chiroptera; Phyllostomidae.